RNAcentral lists this ribosomal RNA (450 nucleotides) under uncultured bacterium. Its description in RNAcentral is "partial 16S ribosomal RNA". It matches the Rfam family "Bacterial small subunit ribosomal RNA", at positions 354 to 796 of the family's 1533-position model. The record is from RNAcentral.
GUGGGGAAUUUUGGACAAUGGGCGAAAGCCUGAUCCAGCCAUGCCGCGUGCAGGAUGAAGGCCUUCGGGUUGUAAACUGCUUUUGUACGGAACGAAAAGACUCCUUCUAAUAAAGGGGGUCCAUGACGGUACCGUAAGAAUAAGCACCGGCUAACUACGUGCCAGCAGCCGCGGUAAUACGUAGGGUGCAAGCGUUAAUCGGAAUUACUGGGCGUAAAGCGUGCGCAGGCGGUUAUAUAAGACAGAUGUGAAAUCCCCGGGCUCAACCUGGGAACUGCAUUUGUGACUGUAGUGCUGGAGUACGGCAGAGGGGGAUGGAAUUCCGCGUGUAGCAGUGAAAUGCGUAGAUAUGCGGAGGAACACCGAUGGCGAAGGCAGUCCCCUGGGCCUGUACUGACGCUCAUGCACGAAAGCGUGGGGAGCAAACAGGAUUAGAAACCCCGGUAGUCC